RNAcentral lists this long non-coding RNA (664 nucleotides) under Chrysemys picta bellii (western painted turtle). RNAcentral's name for it is "lncRNA (ENSCPBG00000015887.1)". The record is from RNAcentral. Lineage: Eukaryota; Metazoa; Chordata; Testudines; Emydidae.
AUUCUGAGGAAGUCCUAUAGCCUGUGUUAUAGAUGAUCAGUGGUUCCUUCUGGCCUUGGAAUCAUGAAAAUGAGGGUCAUAUAACUGUUGAAACAUGCCUGCAUUAAUUAAGGAGUUUUGCAUGUGACUGAGGGCAUCUGGCCCUAACUAUGUUAAAUAGCAUGAAGCGUGUGAUUUAAACCUACAAAAUUCAAGAAAUUCAGCUAAGGAUGCUGCCCACUCAUACACGAUUCAGAUUCAGUAGGAGGCAGGAUGCUCUUUACUCUUCAGCAACCAGUCUGGAGAACAGAGAAGGAAGACAGCAGCAGUAUAUGAACUUGGGGACUUUGCAUCUGCUGCUUGGACUACACGUGAGGUGCUAUUGCCAGGAGAAUAGAGCUGAGAUGUGAGCAUCGGAAUGAACAGGGUCUGCUCUCCUAAAUUUCCAGUUCCUGAGGCCUAUCAAACAACUAGUGUGAGGGGCAGUGCCUGCUACCUGCUUCAGGAACACCCUGGGUGGGAACUGGGCCUGGUGGCUGCUCCUGGAAUAUCCCAUAGAUGUCGUAAAAGUCAAGAGAUCAUAACACCUGGUGCUUCAUCUUAUUAAAUGAGCAAGAAUAUAUGAAAAACAGAACUUCAAGAUAUUGUAGAGUAAGUACAAAAAUAAAGUACAAUUUCCUAGCCA